UACGGAGGGUGCUAGCGUUGUUCGGAAUCACUGGGCGUAAAGGGCGUGUAGGCGGUCUGUUAAGUCUGAUGUGAAAUCCCCUCGCUCAACGAGGGAACUGCGUCGGAUACUGGCAGACUCGAGUACCGGAGAGGAAGGUGGAAUUCCCGGUGUAGCGGUGAAAUGCGUAGAUAUCUGGAGGAACACCGGUGGCGAAGGCGGCAUCCUGGACCAACACUGACGCUGAGGAGCGAAAGCCAGGGGAGCAAACGGG
RNAcentral lists this ribosomal RNA (253 nucleotides) under uncultured bacterium. RNAcentral describes it as "partial 16S ribosomal RNA". It matches the Rfam family "Bacterial small subunit ribosomal RNA", at positions 524 to 776 of the family's 1533-position model. The record is from RNAcentral.